UUCGCCUUCAUGAAGCCGGAAUUGCUAGUAAUGGCAGGUCAGCAUACUGCCGUGAAUACGUUCCCGAGCCUUGUACACACCGCCCGUCACACCAUGAGAGUUGGGAAUACCCGAAGCCUGUGAGCUAACUGUAAAGAGGCAGCAGUCGAAGGUAGAAUCAAUGAUUGGGGUGAAGUCGUAACAAGGUAAC
RNAcentral lists this ribosomal RNA (190 nucleotides) under uncultured bacterium. RNAcentral's name for it is "partial 16S ribosomal RNA". It matches the Rfam family "Bacterial small subunit ribosomal RNA", at positions 1311 to 1500 of the family's 1533-position model. The record is from RNAcentral.